GGAAUGUUAUUGGCAGGUGGCAUUUAAAUCUCAGCCCCUUCAGGGUUUGCCUCAACUGCAGAGAAUGAGCCUACCUGACCAAGCACAAGAUCCUUUCCAAGUCAGCCCAGGAGGGAUGACUGACAGAGCAGAGGCAGAAAGGACCAGCCAUUCUGGAGCAGGAUAAGUGUUGAUCCCAAGGGCUUGCAUAGAAAACACGUGCACAUUAAACUCAGUAUCCUAAUCUGCUUGUAGACAAAUGUUACCUGCAACAUCCAGUGGAAGAGAGUAGGAAUUCGGGAAGAUUAAAGUUGCCACCAUUGCAGAGAAAAAUCA
Molecule: long non-coding RNA, 315 nt
Organism: Pan troglodytes (chimpanzee)
Lineage: Eukaryota; Metazoa; Chordata; Mammalia; Primates; Hominidae
Exons: 2
Source: RefSeq, a predicted model, not a curated record